GAUGAACGCUGGCGGCGUGCCUAAUACAUGCAAGUCGAGCGAACAGACGAGGAGCUUGCUCCUCUGACGUUAGCGGCGGACGGGUGAGUAACACGUGGAUAACCUACCUAUAAGACUGGGAUAACUUCGGGAAACUGGAGCUAAUGCCGGAUAAUAUAUUGAACCGCAUGGUUCAAUAGUGAAAGACGGUUUUGCUGUCACUUAUAGAUGGAUCCGCGCCGCAUUAGCUAGUUGGUAAGGUAACGGCUUACCAAGGCAACGAUGCGUAGCCGACCUGAGAGGGUGAUCGGCCACACUGGAACUGAGACACGGUCCAGACUCCUACGGGAGGCAGCAGUAGGGAAUCUUCCGCAAUGGGCGAAAGCCUGACGGAGCAACGCCGCGUGAGUGAUGAAGGUCUUCGGAUCGUAAAACUCUGUUAUUAGGGAAGAACAAAUGUGUAAGUAACUAUGCACGUCUUGACGGUACCUAAUCAGAAAGCCACGGCUAACUACGUG
This 497-nucleotide ribosomal RNA is filed under the name uncultured bacterium. Its description in RNAcentral is "partial 16S ribosomal RNA". It matches the Rfam family "Bacterial small subunit ribosomal RNA", at positions 28 to 507 of the family's 1533-position model. The record is from RNAcentral.